CAAACACGCUGGCGGCAGGCUACACACGCAGUUCAACGCGCCUUCGGGUGAGCGGCGGACGGGUUAGUAACGCGUGGGAACGUGCCCACGAUCUACGGAACUAGCCACUGGAAACGGUGAGUAAUACCGUAUACGCCCUAUCGGGGGAAAGAUUUAUCGGAUUUGGAUCGGCCCGCGUUAGAUUAAGGUAGUUGGUGGGGUAACGGCCUACCAAAGCCUACGAUCUACUAGCUGGUUUUAGAGGAUGAUCAGCAACACUGGCCACUGACGACACGGCCCAGACUCCUACGGGAGGCAGCAGUUGGGUGAAUCUUGGACAAUGGGGGCAAACCUGAUCCAAGACCAUGCCGCGUGAGUGAAGAAGGCCCUAUGGUCGUAAAAACUCUUUCGCCUGUGAUGAUAAUUGACAGUAGCAGGUAAAGAAAACCCGGAUAAACAA
RNAcentral lists this ribosomal RNA (439 nucleotides) under uncultured Alphaproteobacteria bacterium. RNAcentral's name for it is "bacterial SSU rRNA". It matches the Rfam family "Bacterial small subunit ribosomal RNA", at positions 33 to 504 of the family's 1533-position model. The record is from RNAcentral. Lineage: Bacteria; Pseudomonadati; Pseudomonadota; Alphaproteobacteria.